Molecule: ribosomal RNA, 245 nt
Filed under: uncultured bacterium
Lineage: Bacteria
Description: partial 16S ribosomal RNA
Rfam family: Bacterial small subunit ribosomal RNA
Source: RNAcentral
UAACACGUGAGCAACCUGCCUUUCANAGGGGGAUAACAGUUGGAAACGACUGCUAAUACCGCAUAACGCUGCGAUGGGGCAUCCCGAUGCAGCCAAAGGAGCAAUCCGCUGGAAGAUGGGCUCGCGGCCGAUUAGCUAGUUGGUGGGGCAACGGCCCACCAAGGCGACGAUCGGUAGCCGGACUGAGAGGUUGAUCGGCCACAUUGGGACUGAGACACGGACCAGACUCCUACGGGAGGCAGCAG